GUCGCUCCGACAGCCCUGUCAGAUAAUGCGACUCUCUGCCUCAGUGUCCUUCAACAGAUGCAACUUGGGACCACACCUAGCUUGCAGACAUCACUUGAAGAAAAAGCCCCUUCAAUCAUGAGAGAAAACGAACAGACAAUGAUGUUGUUUAUUUCCUCAAUAAAGUUUCUUGUUAAAGCUGCUGUCAUUGACCUCGUAGGGAAACAUGAAUUCAUUGAGGAUGGACAUAGAAUUUUCCAAGCUCACAGAUAGAAAAGAAAACUUGCUCAUCCGUAAAUGGGAAGAGACCAUAAUUCCAAAGCUUAAGGAAGUAGCAUCCUUGGAGAAAAAAAUGACAUCAAUCACUUUCUGGAGAAAGCUGACAAUCAGCAUGAUGUUGUGAUUGGAUCUUUGUAGAAGGAAGACAAAUUGCUUGACAAGCUUAAGACCGACUCAUUUUGAGACUCACUUAUACCAGUUCAAUUCAUGUGACGAAUAAUAUCAGUUUUUUUGGGAACAACAUACCGGACAAGAUGCGUUCGGACUUUAAAAGAAGAUAAAAGGGAAGAACCAUUAUUUGGUGAGGUUAUGCACAUUAUUCCCCAAAGUGAAAGAGAAUGUGCACGUAUGUUCUUGAGAUUUAAGAGGUAAAUAUUUUGAUGAACACCUUUUUUCCUUCACUGUCCUCAGAAUUGAAGAUUAUGACAUGGCAAAGCUGCCUGGUGACUUAAUAGAUUACAGACCUUUAGAUAUUGUAUAAUUUUGUGAUCAGCAAUAUGUAACUCCUAAAUACAAAAUUUAGUUUUAAACAUGUUAGUGGUUGAAACUGUUGAACACAAUGUUUUGACCAGAUUUGAAAAUGAAUUAAUUUAUUAAGAUGAGCACCUUAUGUGAAUGCAUAAACAGUAAGUGUGUAAUGGUUAUUUCUU
This is a long non-coding RNA of Carassius auratus (goldfish), 908 nucleotides long. RefSeq lists it as uncharacterized. NCBI's taxonomy places the organism in Eukaryota, Metazoa, Chordata, Actinopteri, Cypriniformes, Cyprinidae. The transcript is spliced from 4 exons. The record is from RefSeq and is a predicted model, not a curated record.